GAACGAACGCGGGCGGCGUGCCUAAUACAUGCAAGUCGAGCGAGAAAGAGGUAGCAAUACCUUGAGUAAAGCGGCGAACGGGUGAGUAACACGUAAGAAACCUGCCUCUAAGUCUGGAACAACACUGCCAACGCGGUGCUAAUACCGGAUGUGAUCCCGCGAUCGCAUGAUUGUGUGAUCAAAGAUGACCUCUCCUUGGAAGUUAUCGCUUAGAGAUGGUCUUGCGCCCCAUUAGCUAGUUGGCGGGGUAAUAGCCCACCAAGGCUUUGAUGGGUAGCCGGUCUGAGAGGGCGAUCGGCCACAUUGGGACUGAGAUACGGCCCAGACUCCUACGGGAGGCAGCAGUAGGGAAUUUUGCGCAAUGGACGAAAGUCUGACGCAGCAACGCCGCGUGAGUGAUGAAGGUCUUCGGAUUGUAAAGCUCUGUUGAGUGGGAAGAAACUCCCGGGAAAUAAUACGUCUCGGGAUUGACGGUACCAUUCGAGUAAGCACCGGCUAACUACGUGCCAGCAGCCGCGGUAAUACGUAGGGAGCAAGCGUUGUUCGGAUUUACUGGGCGUAAAGGGAGCGUAGGCGGAUCAGCAAGUUGGGAGUGAAAUCCACAGGCACAACCUGUGGGUUGCUUCCAAAACUGCUGAUCUUGAGUAUGGGAGAGGAUGAUGGAAUUCCAGGUGUAGCGGUGGAAUGCGUAGAUAUCUGGAAGAACACCAGUUGCGAAGGCGGUCAUCUGGCCCAAUACUGACGCUGAGGCUCGAAAGCUAGGGGAGCAAACAGGAUUAGAUACCCUGGUAGUCCUAGCCGUAAACGAUGGACACUAGUUGUUGGGGGGAUUUCUCCUUCAGUGACGUAGCUAACGCGUUAAGUGUCCCGCCUGGGGAGUACGCCCGCAAGGGUGAA
This 897-nucleotide ribosomal RNA is filed under the name uncultured bacterium. RNAcentral's name for it is "bacterial SSU rRNA". It matches the Rfam family "Bacterial small subunit ribosomal RNA", at positions 27 to 898 of the family's 1533-position model. The record is from RNAcentral.